GAACCUGCGGAAGGAUCAUUACCGAGUGCGGGCCCUCUGGGUCCAACCUCCCAUCCGUGUCUAUCUGUACCCUGUUGCUUCGGCGUGGCCACGGCCCGCCGGAGACUAACAUUUGAACGCUGUCUGAAGUUUGCAGUCUGAGUUUUUAGUUAAACAAUCGUUAAAACUUUCAACAACGGAUCUCUUGGUUCCGGCAUCGAUGAAGAACGCAGCGAAAUGCGAUAAUUAAUGUGAAUUGCAGAAUUCAGUGAAUCAUCGAGUCUUUGAACGCACAUUGCGCCCCCUGGUAUUCCGGGGGGCAUGCCUGUCCGAGCGUCAUUGCUGCCCUCAAGCACGGCUUGUGUGUUGGGCUUCCGUCCCUGGCAACGGGGACGGGCCCAAAAGGCAGUGGCGGCACCAUGUCUGGUCCUCGAGCGUAUGGGGCUUUGUCACCCGCUCCCGUAGGUCCAGCUGGCAGCUAGCCUCGCAACCAAUCUUUUUAACCAGGUUGACCCUCGGAUCAGGUAGGGAUACCCGCUGAACUUAAGCAUAUCAAU
RNAcentral lists this ribosomal RNA (536 nucleotides) under Aspergillus chevalieri. RNAcentral describes it as "eukaryotic LSU rRNA". The stretch from base 165 to 318 matches the Rfam family "5.8S ribosomal RNA". The record is from RNAcentral. Lineage: Eukaryota; Fungi; Ascomycota; Eurotiomycetes; Eurotiales; Aspergillaceae.